Molecule: ribosomal RNA, 279 nt
Filed under: uncultured Actinomycetales bacterium
Lineage: Bacteria; Bacillati; Actinomycetota; Actinomycetes; Actinomycetales
Description: partial 16S ribosomal RNA
Rfam family: Bacterial small subunit ribosomal RNA
Source: RNAcentral
GUGCCAGCCGCCGCGGUAAUACGUAGGGUACAAGCGUUGUCCGGAAUUAUUGGGCGUAAAGAGCUCGUAGGUGGUUUGUCGCGUCUGCUGUGGAAUCGUGCCGCUUAACGGUGCGCGUGCAGUGGGUACGGGCAGACUGGAGUGCAGUAGGGGAGUCUGGAAUUCCUGGUGUAGCGGUGAAAUGCGCAGAUAUCAGGAGGAACACCGGUGGCGAAGGCGGGACUCUGGGCUGUUACUGACGCUGAGGAGCGAAAGCAUGGGGAGCGAACAGGAUUAGAU